Molecule: ribosomal RNA, 410 nt
Filed under: uncultured eukaryote
Lineage: Eukaryota
Description: eukaryotic LSU rRNA
Rfam family: Eukaryotic large subunit ribosomal RNA
Source: RNAcentral
GGCGAAACCACAGCCAAGGGAACGGGCUUGGCGGAAUCGGCGGGGAAAGAAGACCCUGUUGAGCUUGACUCUAGUCGAACGUCGAGGAACAGCACGGACGAACGUAGCAUAGGUGGGAGGCUCCGGCCGAACCUGAAAUACCACCGUCUCCGUCGUUGUUCUUCUCAUUUGGUGGUGUAGGGAUGGGGCGAAGCCCCUUUUUCUGGAGACGGCCGCGACGCGCGCCCGUCCGGGCUCCGUCGCUCGCGCGAGCGAGCGGCGGGGUCCGGCAGGCCUCCGCCCGCGGCGCCUAAUCCGAAGACGUCGUUCGGUGGGGAGUUUUGGCUGGGGCGGCACAUCCGUUAAAAGGCAACGCGGGUGUCCAAAGGGGAGCUCGGCGAGAAGGGAAAUCUCGCGUCGAACGAAAGGGG